UGCGCGUGUGUGCACGAGUGUGAGCGCCCAGGCAGUUGGGAGCGCGCGUUAGGGAUUCUGCUGGCAUCGCAGUGUGGAGAACUGGAGGCAGGAGCGGGGCGCGCAGGGGAGCGCGGGGCCCUCCCGUGCACACGCACACGCACCGCGCGCGCGCACACACACACACACAUACACAUACACACAUACAUACACUCGCGCACACGCCCUCCCUGCCUCGCUCGUUGCCGCGGCCACCAUCUCAGAGUCGAGCCCUGCGUAGCGGGAACCCGAGCCGGAGCGGGAACCAGAGAGGAGCCCAGCGGGGGAAUGCGGCCCCGGAGCGGAGCUGCGCGCCGACUGCGCGCCCUGGACGCCUCCUGCCCUCACAGGCCCUGAGACCCCCGAGCCCACAGGCAAAGAGAGAGAUCGCCAGGCCCCCUCCCAGUUACACUCCCUACAAGCCCAUCUGACCUGAGGCAAAGAUCAAUCUUCCGAGUCUUGCAGCUCCGAGGGGGAAGAGAAGAGAAAGAAAACGGGAGGCGAAGGAAAAAAACUCCCUGGACCAAUUUCCGCUGGCUAACACGAUUACUUGGCUGCCUGGCAGCAGCACCAGCUGUUGGCAGCCAUCCUGGCCCCCCACCAGUCGCGCUCAGUUGCCGG
This 639-nucleotide long non-coding RNA is filed under the name Bos mutus (wild yak). RNAcentral's name for it is "lncRNA (ENSBMUG00000001983.1)". The record is from RNAcentral. Lineage: Eukaryota; Metazoa; Chordata; Mammalia; Artiodactyla; Bovidae.